GAGACCCACGCCAACAGUUGCCAGCACGUUCUCCGGAAUGGUGGGGACACUGUUGGGACCGCCUCUGCUAAAGAGGAGGAAGGAAUGGGCAACGGUAGGUCAGCAUGCCCCGAAUUACCCGGGCUACACGCGGGCUACAAUGGACAGGACAAUGGGAAUCGACACCGAAAGGUGAAGGCAAUCCCCUAAACCUGCCCUUAGUUCGGAUUGUGGGCUGCAACUCGCCCACAUGAAGCUGGAAUCCGUAGUAAUCGCGGAUCAACAUUCCGCGGUGAAUAU
Molecule: ribosomal RNA, 279 nt
Filed under: uncultured archaeon
Lineage: Archaea
Description: partial 16S rRNA
Rfam family: Archaeal small subunit ribosomal RNA
Source: RNAcentral